Molecule: long non-coding RNA, 210 nt
Filed under: Phoenix dactylifera (date palm)
Lineage: Eukaryota; Viridiplantae; Streptophyta; Magnoliopsida; Arecales; Arecaceae
Description: long non-coding RNA (PDAC_LNC021188)
Source: RNAcentral
AUAUGAUUAUUUAUGUUUUCACAAAAUUAGGAUCAAGCAUGUGUUAGCAAAUGAUUACAUAAUUUUGGAUUAUGAUUAUUAUUAUAGUAUAUGCACAUGAUUAUGAUGAUGUAGAAAGAUGCAUAGAAAAAUAAAGUUUUCAGCAUGAUCAUGAGUUUUAUUUAGCAUGAUGCCAUUAUUCACUUUCCAAUGUAUCUAUGAGAAAAGAUU